GGCGCGACUGGUCGUUCUAUCAUCAGUUCAGCCUGAUGGCAAAGACUAACUUGUUAUUUGUUUAGUAAUUUCAAAUGUAUCAUUUGAAGGGGCGGCUGUUAAAAAUCAAGUUCCCACCUGACUUGCCUCAUUCAUGGACUGUCAAUCACCACUAAAACCACGCCCCUAUCCACUCUAUAUAACUCCUCCCUUCAGGCCUGUGGCCCUCUUUUCCCUCCAAACAAAACUAGGCAGAACAAAGAAAGGAGUGAUAUUUCAGGGUGACAUCCUGCUUAACGUUAAGAGAAAACCGUAGUACAGAUUGUGGAUGCAGUGCAGACUGUGGAUGCAUUACUGAUACAAAAUCAUCCAUUCAUCCAUGCAUCCAUUCAUCCAAUUACCUGCCACCAGUGUAAACCUUUCCCUGCCUUGAUAACAAUAAAACCUUGGAACGGCACUGGAUCCUGUGUUUAAAUGUGCACACCACAUUAGAUGUUCAGUGAACCAACACCAUCAGCGAAUAAGAGUU
Molecule: long non-coding RNA, 508 nt
Organism: Perca fluviatilis (European perch)
Lineage: Eukaryota; Metazoa; Chordata; Actinopteri; Perciformes; Percidae
Exons: 3
Source: RefSeq, a predicted model, not a curated record